AACGAACGCUGGCGGCAUGCCUAACACAUGCAAGUCGAACGAGACCUCCGGGUCUAGUGGCGCACGGGGGCGUAACGCGGGGGAACCUGCCCUUAGGCUCGGAAUAACUCCCCGACAGGGGUGCUAAUACCGGAUAAUGUACUCGGACAAAAGAUUUAUCGCCUUUGGAUGGGCCCGCGUUGGAUUAGCUAGUUGGUAGGGUAAAAGCCUACCAAGGCGACGAUCCAUAGCUGGUCUGAGAGGAUGAUCAGCCACACUGGGACUGAGACACGGCCCAGACUCCUACGGGAGGCAGCAGUGGGGAAUAUUGGACAAUGGGCGAAAGCCUGAUCCAGCAAUGCCGCGUGAGUGAUGAAGGCCUUAGGGUUGUAAAGCUCUUUUACCCGGGAUGAUAAUGACAGUACCGGGAGAAUAAGCUCCGGCUAACUCCGUG
This 433-nucleotide ribosomal RNA is filed under the name uncultured bacterium. RNAcentral's name for it is "partial 16S ribosomal RNA". It matches the Rfam family "Bacterial small subunit ribosomal RNA", at positions 29 to 507 of the family's 1533-position model. The record is from RNAcentral.